Molecule: ribosomal RNA, 494 nt
Filed under: Klebsiella pneumoniae
Lineage: Bacteria; Pseudomonadati; Pseudomonadota; Gammaproteobacteria; Enterobacterales; Enterobacteriaceae
Description: bacterial LSU rRNA
Rfam family: Bacterial large subunit ribosomal RNA
Source: RNAcentral
AGGUUAAUAUUCCUGUACUUGGUGUUACUGCGAAGGGGGGACGGAGAAGGCUAUGUUAGCCGGGCGACGGUUGUCCCGGUUUAAGCAUGUAGGCUGGUUGUCCAGGCAAAUCCGGAUAAUCAAGGCUGAGGUGUGAUGACGAGGCACUACGGUGCUGAAGUAACAAAUGCCCUGCUUCCAGGAAAAGCCUCUAAGCAUCAGGUAACAUCAAAUCGUACCCCAAACCGACACAGGUGGUCAGGUAGAGAAUACCAAGGCGCUUGAGAGAACUCGGGUGAAGGAACUAGGCAAAAUGGUGCCGUAACUUCGGGAGAAGGCACGCUGGUGUGUAGGUGAAGCCCCUGCGGGUGGAGCUGAGACCAGUCGAAGAUACCAGCUGGCUGCAACUGUUUAUUAAAAACACAGCACUGUGCAAACACGAAAGUGGACGUAUACGGUGUGACGCCUGCCCGGUGCCGGAAGGUUAAUUGAUGGGGUUAUCCGUAAGGAGAAGC